RNAcentral lists this ribosomal RNA (449 nucleotides) under uncultured bacterium. RNAcentral's name for it is "bacterial SSU rRNA". It matches the Rfam family "Bacterial small subunit ribosomal RNA", at positions 354 to 796 of the family's 1533-position model. The record is from RNAcentral.
GUGGGGAAUAUUGGACAAUGGGCGCAAGCCUGAUCCAGCAAUACCGCGUGUGUGAAGAAGGCCUGAGGGUUGUAAAGCACUUUCACUAGGGAGGAAUACCCAAUGGUUAAUACCUGUUGGACUGACAUUACCUAGAGAAGAAGCACCGGCUAACUCCGUGCCAGCAGCCGCGGUAAUACGGAGGGUGCAAGCGUUAAUCGGAAUUACUGGGCGUAAAGCGUGCGUAGGCGGCGCGUUAAGUCAGAUGUGAAAGCCCUGGGCUUAACCUGGGAACUGCAUUUGAAACUGGCGGGCUCGAGUUGAGUAGAGGUAAGUGGAAUUUCAGGUGUAGCGGUGAAAUGCGUAGAUAUCUGAAGGAACACCAGUGGCGAAGGCGACUUACUGGACUCAAACUGACGCUGAGGUACGAAAGCGUGGGUAGCAAACAGGAUUAGAAACCCUAGUAGUCC